UUUAGGGGCUUUAUACUUUUGCUCCCCUACAUUUUUAAAUCCUGUAUUGUAUUUAUUGCUGUUUAUCUGAACCCUAUAAAGUUACUGAGAUGAAGAAAAAUAAUUAUUUGUCAAUGAAAAUAUUGCACAACUUUGUUACAGCCAGCAUAACUGGAACACCAACCACUGAUGUUUGGAGAUUAAUUCAUUAAGGACAGAAUGCAUGCAUGAACUGAGGUACUACAAUGUCAUACAGAAUGAGCACUUUUACUUUUGAUACUUAAGUAUAUUCACUAUGACUAUGGAAUACUUUUAUACCUUUUUGAGGACUUGUGAUAAAUAUCUAUUUCUACUUUUCUUGAGUAAGGGACCAUUGUACUAUAUUUAAAGUAACUAUCAGCUGGAUGGUGCACUGGAAAAGUUGUUGCACUUAAAACAGAAGGUACAGUAUUCAAAAUGUGCUCAGGGCAUCCUUUUUUAUCUCCUGAGGACAAAAAAGAGCCAUUAAUAAGACUGAGCAAAGCAUCUCCCUCAAGUCUCUUCCUAUGAUGUCUUAGCCAGAACCUGGGCAAAUGUGGAGGGAACACAGACAGUUCUCCUGACAGUGUUGAGGUCCCCCUUAAACCUCCGCUGCCCCAUAUACAAAUACACACAAAGUGGCCUGUACAGUUCCACAGAUUCAAGACUCUCUAAAACCACCAUUUUUCUUUAUACGUCUAAAAUUGUAUAGAUUUUGUUACUAGCUGCAUUUCAGAUUUAGAUGAAUAAAAUACAGUCAACAAUUAAAUUACGGUGUUUGCUUAUGGUACUUUUAUACUUUUAGUUAAGUAAAAUUUUAAAUAUAUGAAAUUUUACUUCUAACAGUAUGUAAAGCCUGGUGUUUCUACUGUCACUGAUAAAUGUGUUUCUUGCUUUAUUUUAAACACUGUAGCCUGUAACACAGGCCUCUGUGUCAGAGCUGAGAAGUGGAGAAUAUUGUGGUGACUUUGCAGCCUCUGGCUCAGGCUUAAUUAAUGGGCCAUCAGCGGAGGGACACGCCCCCCUGCACCUGGAACUUUCCCCCCUCCCCCAACCUUUCAGCAGCGCAGCAGAGAGGAGCAGAAGAAAACAGAGCGUGGCCGGAGUUUGGAGAGAUUUGUUAGCAGGAGUUUGGAGAGAUUUGUUUGAAAAAUUUAAAGACGAAGACUUCAUCUUAACCGACGCAAGAGGCAAUUUCAGAGCAGGUCCAGGAAGAGAUCGCUAUGAGUCAAACACAGAUGGAGGUUCUGACCCCUGCGCUGAGUUAGAGAUAAGGAGAACUCACUGAUGAUGAGACCCCCAGGCUUCCACAGAAGAACAAAGUCAAACAUGAGAGAGCAAGAGAGCAUGGAGUGAGGUAGAGAGAACUGCGAUGUAGAGUGCCUG
Micropterus salmoides (largemouth bass) is the source of this 1383-nucleotide long non-coding RNA. RefSeq lists it as uncharacterized. The record is from RefSeq and is a predicted model, not a curated record. The transcript is spliced from 4 exons. Lineage: Eukaryota; Metazoa; Chordata; Actinopteri; Centrarchiformes; Centrarchidae.